AGUCCGCCUUGAAGAUCGGAGUGCUUGCACUCUGUGAAACAAGAUACAGGCUAGCGGCGGACGGGUGAGUAACACGUGGGUAACCUGCCCAAGAGAUCGGGAUAACACCUGGAAACAGAUGCUAAUACCGGAUAACAACAGAUGAUGCCUAUCAACUGUUUAAAAGAUGGUUCUGCUAUCACUCUUGGAUGGACCUGCGGUGCAUUAGCUAGUUGGUAGGGUAACGGCCUACCAAGGCGAUGAUGCAUAGCCGAGUUGAGAGACUGAUCGGCCACAUUGGGACUGAGACACGGCCCAAACUCCUACGGGAGGCAGCAGUAGGGAAUCUUCCACAAUGGACGCGAGUCUGAUGGAGCAACGCCGCGUGAGUGAAGAAGGGCUUCGGCUCGUAAAGCUCUGUUGUUGGUGAAGAAGGACAGGGGUAGUAACUGACCUUUGUUUGACGGUAAUCAAUUAGAAAGUCACGGCUGACUACGUGCCAGCAGCCGCGGUAAUACGUAGGUGGCAAGCGUUGUCCGGAUUUAUUGGGCGUAAAGCGAGUGCAGGCGGCUCGAUAAGUCUGAUGUGAAAGCCUUCGGCUCAACCGGAGAAUUGCAUCAGAAACUGUCGAGCUUGAGUACAGAAGAGGAGAGUGGAACUCCAUGUGUAGCGGUGAAAUGCGUAGAUAUAUGGAAGAACACCGGUGGCGAAGGCGGCUCUCUGGUCUGUUACUGACGCUGAGGCUCGAAAGCAUGGGUAGCGAACAGGAUUAGAUACCCUGGUAGUCCAUGCCGUAAACGAUGAGUGCUAAGUGUUGGGAGGUUUCCGCCUC
This 811-nucleotide ribosomal RNA is filed under the name uncultured bacterium. Its description in RNAcentral is "bacterial SSU rRNA". It matches the Rfam family "Bacterial small subunit ribosomal RNA", at positions 60 to 839 of the family's 1533-position model. The record is from RNAcentral.